GUUUACCCGUUUUCAUUCGGGUAAACACAAAUAUCAGAACUGAUCAUAGUAAUCGUGUAUCCGGUGAAUUCAAAAUUGGACAGUUAAAUUCCAUGAUUACAGGAACUGCAUCCAUGAUUUUUGGCGCUGACAUUAUGCUCAUCAGUUUUCACUCUGUUGUGGUUUCAUUCAUCCAUGUUUGUAUAAUUGUAUCGUUCUACCGAUGGAGAAAGGUAAUAUUUUUAGUAUUUCUACCCUUCCAUAAUUUUCUUCUCUCAUUCUCUUUCAGAUCUAAAAAAAAUGCUUCAGUUAUGUUAAUGGAUAUCAAAUUCAAAUUCCAGGCUCUUUCAUGUCAACAAUGGUUAUUAUGGAGGCAUCUGAAGGGAAAGUAUCAGUGAGUGAGACGCCAAAAAGUGUUUGUUAAAAUGCCUAAACUAAACUGUUUGUUCUUUGUGUUGUUUACAUUUUUUUAGCGCUUUGGGUUGGCCAUGGUCCAUUAGGUGAUGAAUGACAUGCCUUUACUAAUGCGAUAGGAACUUACAGGUUUGCAGUUUUGAAAUAUUUGUCCAUCGAUACACUUAGAUAUUGUGGGUGUACUUUCACUUUUAUACUUUCAGCGAUGGGUACUAAUAUCCGUGUACUCAAGAUGAAGCAGCAUGGAUGAAAACAAUUGAAACAUUUAGUUUUACUGUUGAACCAUCAUUUGCUGGCAUCAUUAUUGUUAUUUUUUUAGAUGUAUAUUAAACAUAUAGUGGUGCAUAUAACAUAGGGUGUGUAUAUAUAUGAUAUUAUGUGUCCGCUUUAUUUUAGGAUAUUUUUUAUGGAUGUUAAUGAUUUUUUUGGAAUUUGAUAAUCGCUAGAGAUGAGUUUGGUUUUACAACAUGCUUGGAUGUGGUUGUACUGGCCUCUUAUUGCUUUCUAAUGAUGGUUGGGCUGCAGAAGAUUAUUUCAGUGAGAUUCGAGUAAGGAUGUUAGGUGACAGAUAUGAGUUUAGCCUUUUGUGAUCUCAGGCAGAACCGAAGCGAAAACUCCUUCACAAGAGGCCCUGUUUGCACUAAUUCGGCAGGGCAUUCCUUCAGCAAGGAGGCUCCGAAAUAGGAAAGCUCUUCUUAAUCUAAUGCAAGACAAGGUUCCCUCUCUGGACUGUUAUACAAAUGGAAUCAAGCUGCCUGCAAGAGAGGAAACCUGGUAAAUUGAGAGCCUUUUGUAAACCAGGAAGCCGAGAAAGAAAACAGACCCAGUCAUUGUCCUGGUAGUUGAGCAUGUUCUGCUGGAAAUGCCAUUGCUUGAGAAAUAGAAAAUGAUGAAAGGAUACAUAUGAUCCUUCUUUACUGAAUUUUUUUUCGUUUUGCGUGUCAAGUAGCAUUUACAUAGCAAUUAUUAGGAUGUAUCAUCUGUUAUUAGCUCUCUCUUAAAUGUUUUAGGUGUACUUAUAAGUUUUAUCAAUUAAUUUAUAUUAUUUUUUAUA
Long non-coding RNA from Daucus carota subsp. sativus, 1447 nucleotides. RefSeq lists it as uncharacterized. Lineage: Eukaryota; Viridiplantae; Streptophyta; Magnoliopsida; Apiales; Apiaceae. The record is from RefSeq and is a predicted model, not a curated record. The transcript is spliced from 4 exons.